RNAcentral lists this ribosomal RNA (301 nucleotides) under uncultured bacterium. Its description in RNAcentral is "partial 16S ribosomal RNA". It matches the Rfam family "Bacterial small subunit ribosomal RNA", at positions 509 to 807 of the family's 1533-position model. The record is from RNAcentral.
CAGUAGCCGCGGUAAUACGAGGGGGGCAAGCGUUGUUCGGAAUUAUUGGGCGUAAAGGGUGCGUAGGCGGCUUGACAAGUCUUGUGUGAAAUCUAUGGGCUCAACCCAUAGUCUGCACGGGAAACUGUCGGGCUUGAGAAUGGGAGAGGUGAGUGGAAUUUCCGGUGUAACGGUGAAAUGCGUAGAUAUCGGAAGGAACACCUGUGGCGAAAGCGGCUCACUGGACCAUUUCUGACGCUGAUGCACGAAAGCUAGGGGAGCAAACAGGAUUAGAUACCCCCGUAGUCCCUGUCUCUUAUAC